This is a long non-coding RNA of Panicum virgatum (switchgrass), 1202 nucleotides long. RefSeq lists it as uncharacterized. The transcript is spliced from 2 exons. Lineage: Eukaryota; Viridiplantae; Streptophyta; Magnoliopsida; Poales; Poaceae. The record is from RefSeq and is a predicted model, not a curated record.
UGCUACUUCCUCUCUCUUUGUCUGCCUUCGUCUUUCAAUUUUUCUUCUUCCCCCUUUUUCAUUAACUGGGCUUUAGUAGGGCUCUAUUGUCCGUGCAGGAGCAUGUUGGAUCCACCCUUGAUUUCUUCUCCAUCAAUUACAUAAGGGACCAUUAUGUAUGAGAAAAAAUACAUCAGGGAUUUUAUAGACUAGUCGACAUUGUCCUAAACAUACCACAAUAUAUUACUAAAGGAUAAUCAGAAGAAAAAUGAUAUGUGAGUACAUUAAUAAAUGGACUAUAGCAUCAAAUAACAUGUUUGGGGUGAGAAAAAUUUAUUUUUGGGAUACUAAACAGACUCAUGUGAUGUGAACUUCUAUUUUGCAAAUACAAUAAUGCCAUCAAUGCGAAAUGUUGAUUAGGGUGAGCAAGAUGGCAAAAUGAUUGCUGUGAAACUGCUUCACUUGAUGCCGCAACGACUUGACUAUGAAGAGGAAUUCAUGAAGGCUGAACGAGUUCGAGAACCUUAAGAGGCUCAACCACCCUAAUAUUGUACAGCUACAUGGCUACUGCUAUGAAAUAAAGCGUGAAUGUGUAGAGUUUGAAGGUAGAUCUGUUAUUGCUGAUAAAAUCUAUAGAGCACUCUGCUUUGAGUAUAUGCCCAAUGGAAAUCUUCAAGGACACCUUGACGAUGAAUCCCGUGGAAUGGACUGGCACACACGCUACAAAAUUAUCAAGGGGACUUGCGAGGGUUUAAAAUAUCUCCAUGAGGGAUUGAAAACUCCUAUGUACCAUUUAGAUCUAAAACCUGGUAAUAUAUUAUUGGACAAGAAUAUGGCGCCAAAGCUUGCCGAUUUUGGUUUAUCUAAGCACGUCAGUGACAACCAGACUCGAGCUACAUCAAACUCUUUAGGAACAAUGUAACUUAAUUCCUCUCUAACCUCAGUUUUCAAAAAAAAACUAAUCGUGUUUUCUAACACUCUUGAAUCUACAAAUGUCAUGCAGUAGAUAUUGUCCACCUGAACACAUUGAGCGUAACUAUUUCUCAAACAAGUUUGACAUAUUCAGCUUGGGUGUUGUAAUGAUAGAGAUAAUUGCUGGGUCCGAAGGCUACCGAAAGGUAGCUGAAAUGCCUUCUAAAGAAUUUAUCCAUCAUGUAAGUUAAGCCCCUUCUAUCAAGAUUCUUGAAUAUGUAUAUAAACUCUGAGUAUCUUUCUGUGCCUGA